AGCCACUAUGUUGUGAGGGAGACCAGGCACACCAGAGGCCAUGUGUGGGUGUUCUGGUCAAUAGCCCCAGCGAGGCCUCCAGCUGAGUGACAGCCAGCACCAACUUCAGAACGGAAGAUGAGCAACAGCCAAGAGUACCAUGUACUGAGUGCUCCUGAGUGUUAGGUGGUAUGCUGAGUUAUGGAUUUUACUCGGGGCAGUAAUGGCCUCCCCCUUGCCUUUCCUGCUUGGAACUUGGAGCUCUAGCAAGCAUCUUGGACCAUGAAUUGUGGCCCUAAAGGAUAAACGAGCCUGGCUGUCUGCCACAAUGGAGCUACCAGACAAGUCCUUAAAAGACAACUUGUUUCAU
RNAcentral lists this long non-coding RNA (349 nucleotides) under Homo sapiens (human). RNAcentral's name for it is "HSALNT0221833". The record is from RNAcentral. Lineage: Eukaryota; Metazoa; Chordata; Mammalia; Primates; Hominidae.